AUGUCGAGGGUUUGCUUUUGGGUUUGCACCAUUAGAAAUCGCAGGUCUAUAGUCUUGUACAUAUAUGUUUAUUUUAGGGGCUCACAUGUCAUUGUAGAAUAUUUUGUAUACCUGGCUACGUGUGCCACUGUAUGUAUGAAUUUAUUUUGCUUUUACGUUACAAAAAUUAUUUAUGCAGAGUUCUAUAAAUAUUGUUUUAUAAGAAAA
RNAcentral lists this long non-coding RNA (207 nucleotides) under Theobroma cacao (cacao). RNAcentral's name for it is "long non-coding RNA (TCAC_LNC001931)". The record is from RNAcentral. Lineage: Eukaryota; Viridiplantae; Streptophyta; Magnoliopsida; Malvales; Malvaceae.